UAACGACUCUCGGCAACGGAUAUCUCGGCUCUCGCAUCGAUGAAGAACGUAGCGAACUGCGAUACUUGGUGUGAAUUGCAGGAUCCCGUGAACCAUCGAGUCUUUGAACGCAAGUUGCGCCCGAAGCUUCGGUCGAGGGCACGUUUGCCUGGGUGUCA
Molecule: ribosomal RNA, 158 nt
Filed under: Gossia fragrantissima
Lineage: Eukaryota; Viridiplantae; Streptophyta; Magnoliopsida; Myrtales; Myrtaceae
Description: 5.8S ribosomal RNA
Rfam family: 5.8S ribosomal RNA
About the family: 5.8S ribosomal RNA (5.8S rRNA) is a component of the large subunit of the eukaryotic ribosome. It is transcribed by RNA polymerase I as part of the 45S precursor that also contains 18S and 28S rRNA. Functionally, it is thought that 5.8S rRNA may be involved in ribosome translocation.
Source: RNAcentral